This 452-nucleotide ribosomal RNA is filed under the name uncultured bacterium. RNAcentral's name for it is "bacterial SSU rRNA". It matches the Rfam family "Bacterial small subunit ribosomal RNA", at positions 29 to 524 of the family's 1533-position model. The record is from RNAcentral.
AACGAACGCUGGCGGCAGGCCUAACACAUGCAAGUCGAACGCCCGUAGCAAUACGGGAGUGGCAGACGGGUGAGUAACGCGUGGGAACGUGCCCUUCGGUUCGGAAUAACUCAGGGAAACUUGAGCUAAUACCGGAUACGUCCGUAAGGAGAAAGAUUUAUCGCCGAAGGAUCGGCCCGCGUCGGAUUAGCUAGUUGGUGAGGUAAUGGCUCACCAAGGCGACGAUCCGUAGCUGGUCNGAGAGGAUGAUCAGCCACACUGGGACUGAGACACGGCCCAGACUCCUACGGGAGGCAGCAGUGGGGAAUAUUGGACAAUGGGCGAAAGCCUGAUCCAGCCAUGCCGCGUGAGUGAAGAAGGCCUUAGGGUUGUAAAGCUCUUUCAGCGGGGAAGAUAACGACGGUACCCGCAGAAGAAGCCCCGGCUAACUUCGUGCCAGCCGCCGCUGUAAU